GGAUGUGAGGGUGAUCUGGCUAUGACAUCAGUCACCCCAUUGAUUGGCAGGGUUGAUUCAACUGAUCUGGCUGGCUAGGCAGGUGUCCCCAUCCUCCCUCACUGCUCCAUGGGAAUCCCCCCCAAAGCUGUGAGCUUAGUUUAAGAAGAUGACCUUCUCUGAUAGAGGAGGAUCAUUCUUUAGUCAAGAGUAUACAAGUA
RNAcentral lists this small RNA (200 nucleotides) under Marmota monax (woodchuck). Its description in RNAcentral is "7SK RNA". It matches the Rfam family "7SK RNA", at positions 1 to 200 of the family's 331-position model. Rfam says of the family: 7SK was discovered as an abundant small nuclear RNA in the mid-70s but a possible function has only recently been suggested. Two independent studies have found that 7SK RNA binds the CDK9/cyclin T complex (known as elongation factor P-TEFb). The record is from Rfam by way of RNAcentral. Lineage: Eukaryota; Metazoa; Chordata; Mammalia; Rodentia; Sciuridae.